ACUCUGUUGUUGGAGAAGAACGUAUUUGAUAGUAACUGAUCAGGUAGUGACGGUAUCCAACCAGAAAGCCACGGCUAACUACGUGCCAGCAGCCGCGGUAAUACGUAGGUGGCAAGCGUUGUCCGGAUUUAUUGGGCGUAAAGCGAGCGCAGGCGGUUUCUUAAGUCUGAUGUGAAAGCCUUCGGCUCAACCGAAGAAGUGCAUCGGAAACUGGGAAACUUGAGUGCAGAAGAGGACAGUGGAACUCCAUGUGUAGCGGUG
This 261-nucleotide ribosomal RNA is filed under the name uncultured Lactobacillus sp. RNAcentral's name for it is "partial 16S ribosomal RNA". It matches the Rfam family "Bacterial small subunit ribosomal RNA", at positions 430 to 683 of the family's 1533-position model. The record is from RNAcentral. Lineage: Bacteria; Bacillati; Bacillota; Bacilli; Lactobacillales; Lactobacillaceae.